GCAGGGGCCCUGCACUUUCCCCAACCGAGCGGCUCCCUUGGUAAAAUGCAGGUUUAGAAUUCUACACUAAAAUGCAGGUUAGGAAAAGUGCAAUGUGCAGCGAAAUUUUAUGUUUGACUGCCUUUAGUCAGUUAUUAUCCAUUUGCGUGUACUUUUUAUUUAUUGUCUACACUCUGUUGCGCGCUGAAUUAUGAGGGCCCAAAACCGCCACUUUUUCAAUACAAAAUUUUUUUCAAAAUAUCAAUACAUAAAACAGAAAAGAAUAUA
Daphnia pulicaria is the source of this 267-nucleotide long non-coding RNA. RefSeq lists it as uncharacterized. The record is from RefSeq and is a predicted model, not a curated record. The transcript has 2 exons. Lineage: Eukaryota; Metazoa; Arthropoda; Branchiopoda; Diplostraca; Daphniidae.